This 102-nucleotide non-coding RNA is filed under the name Metabacillus litoralis. RNAcentral describes it as "Bacillus litoralis Guanine sequence". It matches the Rfam family "Purine riboswitch aptamer". From Rfam's summary of the family: Riboswitches are metabolite binding domains within certain messenger RNAs that serve as precision sensors for their corresponding targets. Allosteric rearrangement of mRNA structure is mediated by ligand binding, and this results in modulation of gene expression. A class of riboswitches that selectively recognises guanine and becomes saturated at concentrations as low as 5 nM. The record is from Rfam by way of RNAcentral. Lineage: Bacteria; Bacillati; Bacillota; Bacilli; Caryophanales; Bacillaceae.
AAUAAGCGAUAACGAUAACCUCAUAUAAAAUUGGGAAUAUGGCCCAGAAGUUUCUACCCGUUGACCGUAAAUCAUCGGACUAUGAGGGAAAGUGUACGUAUA